This 9352-nucleotide long non-coding RNA is filed under the name Coffea arabica (coffee). Its description in RNAcentral is "long non-coding RNA (CARA_LNC005282)". The record is from RNAcentral. Lineage: Eukaryota; Viridiplantae; Streptophyta; Magnoliopsida; Gentianales; Rubiaceae.
CGUUAACAAGGAAACAGUUCCAACUGAAUUGCCAAGAUUUUUUACAAAGUUUCAACCAGCAAGACUGUCUGAAUCCUGGUUGAACUGAUCAACAUAUCCAGCUCCCCUUGUCCAAUUGCAGUACAUAAUCAAAAUCUGCUGAAUUUCUCUUAUGGGUUCCUGCCACCAAUUUUGAACCAUAUUGCCUUUUGACAGUUUGAAUUGAGAUCUCUCGAAGCUUCCCGUCAGUGGGGUUCAACUUUUGCCACCACAACACACACCUUGAAGGAUGCAGAAGUUGAUGCCUCCAGGAAGGAAACAAGUACUCGAGGGCCAGGCAGAGGCUAUAUCCCUAAGUCAGCCUAAUUAAAAAUUUUUGUCAACCAACAUAUCCAAAUCACAAGCCACUGGCCAUUUGGUCCAGUGGUCAUCACCAUUAAAGGUGAUGCUGGAGGUCAGGGGUUCAAUCCUUGCCUCCCACAAAUUUGACACAAUUUGUGGCGGUCUUAAUUGACCUUCAUCGAUGGAGACUGUACUCACAUCGAACCCCCUCCCCUUCCCCUUAGACUAGGCUAGAUUAGGUUAUAGGACAUCUAUCAUUGCGACAAAAAAAAAACAUAUCCAAAUCACAAGUAACUUUAUACAAAUUAUAAUGCUGAACUAAAUUUCAAUGAUCUAAAGAUGACAGUUUUGUAAAAAUCAGCUGUAAUGCUUAAACUUAUAGCACCGUCAAACUACUUCACAGUAUCACAAAAAUAUAGAGAAGGAAAAUUAAAAGCACAUACAAUGCAAACUAGUAAUGUGCUUAGCUGGAGUGAUUACCAAGUAAACUGCAUAUUUCAGAUCAUACUCUGGUUCCUAGUUAGCUCUUCUUCUUGAACAGGCAUUGGAGCAAAUCUGAUUCCAGCCAACUCAAACUCUUUCAAUUUCAGGCAGUCAUCAAGAGCAUCUGCAGAUGUGCAAAUGUAUUGAAAUAAAAUUGAGGAACAUGAAAUAAAAUUUGUGAGGUCAUGUGAAACACUGAAAAAACUGGAAGAUGCCAUGUAAAAUGUUACAGUGUAUUUUGGCUCACAGAGGAUUAAAUGAAACAAAAACCAAAAAAAAAAUUAAAUAAAAUUGUGAGGUCAUAAUAAAUUGAUGAAAUUUCUGAGGGGAAGUCCAACUGAAUUAUCGAGUUUGAACAACUUAUAUGACCUAAUAAUAUCAGUUAAGACUAUUUGAUUAAUCAUGAAAGUAUCAAAGAAAAUUCAUAAUGAACUACAUAAUGCAUAAACAAAAGAUAAUAACAAAAAAAAAAAAAAUUUAGUCUCAAAUAUAUGUGUGUGUGUGUGUAUAUAUAUAUAUAUAGUGGAUUCACGUUUUUUUCUCAAUUGAUUUUUCUCCAUUCGAAGAUAAAACCAUAUAAAAGUUUCUUGGAAAACCAAAAUAGUAAUUAAUUUUUCACUUAAAAAAAUUAUUUGUUAGGAAAAUUUUUUUGAGCUCUAUUAUUUGUUAAAAAAUAAUUAGUAGGAAUAUAAUACUUGAAGUCUUUGAACAAUUUUAAAAACUUAAGUUUAAAAACACCAAUUUGGACCAAUUAUAUAUAUAUAUAUAUGUAUAUAUAUUGUGGAUUCACAUUUUUUUCCUCAAUUGGUUUUUCUCUGCUGGAAGAUAAAACCAUAUAAAAGUUUCUUGGACAGCCAAAAUAGUAAUUAAUUUUUCACUUAAAAAAUUAUUUGUUAGAAAAUUUAUUUUUGACCUCUUUUAUUUGUUAGAAAAAUAACUGCUAGGACUAGUCUUGAACAAUUUAAGAAACUUAGGGUUAAAAACACCAAUUUGGACCAAUUUGGGCCUCCCCACUCGUAAUAUACAUAAUCCUAUGGCAGCAUAAAAGUUUCUUCCGUUUUUAAUAUUGCCGUGGUCUUUCCGCCCGCCACCGCCAGGUUUUUAUUUUUAUUUUUAAUCAGUUCUUCACCUCCCGCCUCUUUUCAUGGGCUUAUUUAUUCUACACAGUCUUAGAUAUUGAUCGAAUUUUCUGUUCUUUUCUAUCCGUGGAAUUAUCAUGAAGAAAGCCUAUUAAUUACUGAAUUCAGCUGAAUGCUUGCCACAACUCAGGUACAAUUAUAAAUUUGGAUACCUGUGGAAGUCUGGGAAUCUUGUUUAAUUUUUCUUUUCCCCUUUUUUUCCUGGUUGUAGCGUGGAGGGGUAUAAGGUGAACGCAUGAGUGAGAAUUGUGGACUAGCUAUUGAAUGAAGUUUGCCUUUUGAUAUCUUUGAGUAGUCCCUCUAUUAUGUACUGUGUUUUGUCUUAAUUUGGGUGUUUGGGGGGGGGGGGGGUAAUUUUUUUUUUUCAUUUUUUGGCUGUUCAGCAGUUUGUUACUGAGGUUUGUGCUCUCUGUUUAUGAUGUGUUCUCUUAUCAAAUAAAGUUACAUUUGUGCUCAAAAUAAAAGAAAAAAGUUGAUGAUUAAAUAGAAAUUGAAUCGGCGCUGUCAAAGUUUGAUUUUUGUGUUAAUAAUUUUGGUUUUGUUCCAGUUUAUGCACUCCACUUGCACUUCAGAUUGGAAAGAAACUAAACUAAUAAUGAGAUUGAAGAGAUGGGUAGUUGACGGUUAUGAAAUUAUUGAAGAAUUUGCUACAAAUAAUUAGGCGUAUUCCAGUGAAGUAUGAGUUGUUUUUUAAGUUAAUAUGAGGUCUUAAUUUACAUGAUUCACAAGGGCUUUAUCAAGGUUUACUAAAAACCCAUUUAGGAUAGCUGGUCAUUUUUUGGACUAAUUGAGAAGUGAGGAUGUUGGCAAAGAAUGUUUACUUUUAUAACAUUUGUCGGUGGAAGAGUAGUGCUGAAUUGUUACUGGCAACACGUAUGGAAGAAAUCAUUCAUUCGGUAGAGUGCAGAUUGAUUCAAGUCUAUUUGCAUUUGAUUUAUAGUGGACAAACCUUUCUUUGCUUGCCCAGCUGCACCUUUUUAUGCACUUUGUUUUCAAGUUUAGGGUUUUUGGAUGUUUUAUCCAUAUUCAAUUAGGUUCCUUUAAUAAUGCAAAGCAAUAAGCGAUGCUUGUUUAUUUAAGUGCUAACACUUUAAACGAAGUCUUGAGUAGUGUUUGUUGUUGGCUGGAAGCACUGCUUGAGGUUGUCUUAACCUGGUCUUGUGAGUCAUUUAGUUUCACCACCAGGACCAGAGAGAUCCACCAAUUAUGUUGGCAGUUGGUCUCAGGAAAGGGUGGUCAGAAGGCCCCUAGUGCAGUGUCUUAGAGCAGCUUAGGAUGAUAAAGUCAAUAGAUGCUGCUUGUGUCUGAAUUCAAACAGGAAAUUAGAACUAAGCAAGGGCAUAAAUAAAAUGCAGAGAGUGUAAUAGGGGCGAUGGAAGAAGUUAUGGUAGUUGAUUCUCUUACUUGUUGAUCAUCAAAAUAAUCAAAGCCAGUUUAUAAGGCAGACCAUAGGAGCCCUAAAUAUUUGAUCUCUUUCUCAUUCUUCUAAACCAUGACGUGUGUUGUCAAUGCCGUAGAAUGUUAGAUUCAUGGAGAAAAAUGCUUAGUCGUAAGAAGUACGUGCUUGUUCUAGGUGAAUUAAACUUACAUCUCAAUUGUUCUAAAAUCAAUGCAAGCUAAAUACUGAAGAAGAUUAUAGGAAUUAUAGUGGAAAAUGAGGGGAUCAGAAGUGUGUGUAUUUUUAUGCAUGUAAAUUUGCAAGCUUUGACUUAAUCUGAUCUACAUUUAGUUACUUUUGGCUUGUUAUCACUCAGAAAUCAUAAAGAAGCUUAGGGUUUUAUGUGCCAAUAGUAGAAACUCUGAGACCACAAUAAGAUGAGCUUAAAACUGAGAAACGGCAUAAAUUUUUUUAAUUGUAUGACAUUCUUCUCUUUGAAAGGAAAUAAAUGAAAAGGAAUAGAACUUCUUUAAUACUUUUCUAUGCUGUUAGUUGUCACCAAAUACUUUUCAUGCCAGUAAGUCAUGAUCUGGUUAAUGAGAUUGGUGGUGUUCUGUUAUCAAGCCUUUAUUUUUGGUUAUAUUAUUGUGUAACAUUUUCCAAUUACAUGGCUUUAUUGAUGGGUGUUCCUUCCCUUGAAUCUUUUGAUGUUGAGAUUACAAUAUGGACUAUCCUCACUGGACGUAAACUGGAAAACUGAAGUUAAAGUCUUUAGUGAAACGGGACCUUUUAAUCUAUUGAGCAUGUCUAUGGCCUUGAAAUGUGUAAAGGUCAAAUUUUAAGUCUAGACUGUGAACAUGUUUCCCUACUAGUCAUUUUAUUACAAGGAGCAAGAUUAAUAUUGCCAUCACAUAACAUCAAAUCAUAGAUGAAGAAUUUGAGAUCAUUGCAAAUGCAGGUUAAAUGGUUCCUGCUCAAUGUCAAUUUUCAAUAUACAAUUUUGCAAAUAUGUACAUUAAAAUGGUUUCUCACAAUGCAAGGAUUCCGAUGUGUCUUAAUUCCCAUUCUAGAUUACUCUCGUUAAGUGUAAUCUAUCUCAUUUUUCAUAUUUUAACCAUGAAUUCUAAUGGACUAAAAGACAAUGUUAGUAAUUUAGUGCUAGAAAUUUUCUAACGCCAUCUGCCUAUGUAUGCAUUAGCGAGGUUAAAUGUAAGUGACAUAUGCAAAGUUAAAACUUAAUUUGCAAAGUUAAAACUUAAUUUCAAAUUUCAUAAAUCAGAGUUGUUGUAACCAUAAUUGGUUUUUACUUACAAAGGACACAUUCAUUAGAGUUGUUUUAACCAUAAUUGAUUAAGCAGCAGUUUGAUGAAUAUGUGCUUCUUGUAUCUUUUUCUCAUUCUGCUCUGUAGUUCCACAUGGUUCUAAUUUUCUCUUGGGUUAAAAAAAAAAGCCCCUGUGGUAAACGUAAUAUACAGAAAAGCCCCUCUUGGUUUCAAAACGCACAAUACGAGACCUCAUACUUUGAAUUAAAUUGUAAAGGUGACGGAAUCCGUUAAAUUUAAUGGAAAUGGACAAAAUGACAAAAAUGCCUUGAUAUAAUUAAGCAAAAGACAGCUUAACAAAUUCAUUUAUUUUAUUCUCUAGAGAGAUUAAAUUAAGGGUUAAGGGGUAGAACAGGUAUAUUUGUUAAAAUAUAGGUAUAAAAUUUUUUUAAAGUUCCAAUAAGUCAUUUCCGUUAAACUUAACGGAUUUCAUCACUUUUAUAAUUUAGUUCAAAACAUUGGGUGUCAUGUUGUACGUUUUGAAACCACGGGGGAUUUUUCUGUAUAUCAACUUUACCACAAGGGGCGCUUUUUUUUUUACCCUUUUCUCUUUGGGUUUGUAUUUUCUGAUUCUAGUUUUCCUUUUGUGUUUGCUGUAAAAGAAAAAUAAAUGAAGCGCUCAAACAAACCAGUAAGGACUAAACUGUUAGAUGAGCAAAGAUUUAAGGGGUUAAACUGUUCGAAAACCCAAAAUUAAUAAGACCCCCUUCUUUCUUUCUUGUGUCUUCCAUCAGCCGCAGUCUACAGCAGGCUACCAAGUCCCCCAAAGCCCAUCAUCAAUCUCUCCUUUUUCUCUCCCCAACUGUUUCCCCUAUCCAUCAUCGAAAAAAGUUGAAUGGGUUCUAUUUGAUCGUCUUAAAUUUAGGAGAUAAUGGUAGGAAAAUUUGUCAGUUCAAUGAUCCAAUGUUGCGCUGGCAAUAAAGAUACUCUUGGCUGCUUAUUGCUUUAUACUAGUAUUUUUUUAACAGAUAACUGUUUUUCAAGGAAUUGAAUAACCACUGACUCUCGGAAAAGGCAUAGGUAUGCCCCCAUUUCGCAGCCAUAAUCUGCUACAUGACGAAAUAAAGAUUCUUUUUUAUAGACAAAGUAUUUGUAGAAAUGUCUGUGAGGUAUUUCUGAGAUGAACCUUUAAUGUGGGAAUUAGAUUGGCAUGUGUUUUGACUAGGAGUAUUUAGCUUUUAACAUUUUCAGCUAAUGGUUAUGCGAUAGAACUUAGGAGAUCAAUACAGUUGCUGGGAGUAGAUUUUCUUUUCUUUUGAAGAAUAUGAAACAUGCUUUUUACUUGGAUGUGAGCUAUUAACUUUUAUCAGUGGGAAUGCUAAACAAGAAAAAUUCUUCAUGGAAAUUAUGAUAGUCUCUAAUUUCAACAUGAAACUAACUUACUGGUUGACAUCAUAAGGGGUGUAUUACUGCCUCGUUGCAGUUGCACGCUUUAUUGAAACAUUGCUGCAAAGAAGUGGAAAAGGUGAUAUUAAGCAGACUGAGAUUUGUGACUAUUAUACUAAUAUGUCUUGAUUUUCUACUUGCUAGAAUACCACAAUCAAUAUGAUUCUACUAGCAAGUACUGUUUCUGGUUCAAUCCCAGUAAACCAACUUAUUAAUUCAUCAAAACAGAGGCCAAGCAGUCGUUCUUGUGUUGUAAAUUCAGCAGUUGCGAUGACAAAUGAAGUUAAAAGAAGGUGCAUUCACUUUUGAACACUGAGACUGUUUGAACACGCAUUUGAGUUUUUCAAACUUUCAUUCUUUGAAUUUGUAUUGCGUGGCAGUUGUGAGUUUUAUGACAUGCAUAAAGAACUCAUUCCGUAUGCUGAGGCAUGGUCUUGGCAGAAGGACAUAGUUAAAAAGAGGAAGGAGUUGAUCGAAAGGGAAAAAGACUGUUCAGACACACUGAUCAUUUUGCAGCACCAUCCUGUUUAUACAUUGGGUACUCGUAGUUCUGAGGCUUACUUGAAUUUUAGCAUGAAAAAUGCGCCCAUUAAUGUAUAUCGAACCGAACGGGGAGGCGAAGUUACAUACCAUGGACCUGGACAGGUAGAUUCUACUUUUCAGGAGAAUUUUGUACCUAAUAUCUUAGGGUGUUAUUUUUAUAGCUCAGGAAUAUUGAUAUUCGGACCUGAACCUGGGUUGACUAACUAGUGUUUUGUGCGAGCCACUCAGAUAUGUGUUUCUCAUGAUAAUGGUAGUCAUGUUAUUAGAACUUUUGUGGGAUCAAUUUGAAGGGAAAGCCAUUUGUUUAAACCUGACUGCAUUCAGGCUGGGUAUAUUUGCUUCAUCCAGCAUUUGGGAAGUUGGGUUUGUUCCACCAUCCCAAAGUCUAGAAUCAAAUAUGUAAUCUUAUAAAUAAGUAGUCUUAUAAGUUGUUCCAGCAGAUUCAGUAGCAUGUAUCCUGUAUCAUGCUCAAGGCUGUCAAUUAAAUAAAUGUGUUUCUUUGAGCAUCAAAACCUUUUUAAUUCUGACAUUUUACAUUUUUGUUUUGUAGCUAGUGAUGUACCCAAUAAUCAAUCUCCGAUAUCACAAAAUGGAUCUUCAUUGGUACCUCAGGGCACUUGAAGAAGUUGUUAUUCGUGUUCUUUCCUCAACAUUUUUCAUUAAAGCUUCACGUAUUGAGGGCCUAACUGGUGUUUGGGUUGGUAGGUUGGCAAUCCUUUGACUAAUAUUCUAUUGCCUUUGCCAUACUUACACAAGCUUAACGGUUGUGAAAUGAGUGAAGGUUAUUCAAUUUGUAAUUUGGAAGGAUUAGGUUUGGCCUCUAAUAACUGUUUGUAUAGAAUUCCUUUCUAUGUGAAUAAGUAACCAUGUAGCUGCUGAAAAUGCCUUGAUGUCUUCCUAUCAUUAAAGAGGAUUUGAUUAUUGUUCAUUGAACUAGUUGGCAGUGAAAUCCAAGGCAAGAAUCUUGAAUGUAGAUUCCAUAAUAGAAUGAGUUCUGUGAACAUUUUGCAAGUAGACUUUUCAUUGAAAAAUUGGCAGACUAAAAAUAUGGUCAGUGCUAUCAUUUUCAUCGGUUGUCAUUAAGGAUAGAAAGAACUUACACUUUUUUAUGUCCUUGGAUUAAAUUUGUAGUCUACUAUCAUGGAUUAAAUUUGUAGUCUACUAUCAUGUUUUCACUUCUUAAGGCACUUUGACAGUCCAUUUGUUUUUAGCAACACUUGAAUCUCAUUCCAUAUGUAUCAUCUGAAAAUUGUGAGUUUUCAGCACAUAUGCAUAAAGUUUUACAGAUAGAUUGUUCUUGUCUUUUGUCCUUGACAUCUUUUCCCUUCCUCUGAUGUGCUUUAGGAAUUAUCCUUCUGGAAAAGCUGGAUUGAAUGGAUCCAUGCGUGAUGGUUUUAUAGUAAAAUUAAUUUGCUUGUAAAAUUAAUUUGCUAUUGACUUCUUAAUAGCAAUGUCAUAUUUAGCAUUUAAUUUAAGAUUGCUGGUGAAAUAGACAGAGACUAACACCUGUGACCCCUUCAGGAGACCAAAAACUGGCAGCUAUUGGUAUAAAAGUGUCACAGUGGAUAGCAUACCAUGGAUUAGCAUUGAAUGUUGCCACAGAUCUGACAGCAUUUGGUCAAAUUGUCCCUUGCGGUAUUCAAGAUCGUCAAGUUGGAAGCAUAAAGGGUCUGUUGCAGGAACAUGUUUCAUCUAAUCGACGUGGAGCUGAAAGCAAGUAUGACAUUGAUGAUAACCAGCUGAUUGAUAUUACUCACAAAUCUCUGGUUCAAGAGUUUUGCAAAAUUUUUCAAGUUCACCUCCGUCAUAAGCCUAUCCCAGCAGGAAUUGCCUGGGAAAGGCCUGAGGUUUUACAUUCUAUAACUGAAAAAGGAGACUAAAAGAACAUGAAGGAUGCACCAGGUGCUUUCCAUUUUCCUGUUAAGUAUGUCUUACACUCCAUUUAUGCAGAAAAUUUCAAGACUCGGCUUAGUUUUACAGUGUCAGGAUUCUUGGAUAUUCAAAUUCUCUUUAUAGCAAGUUUGUGCAAAUCUUUAUGGUCUAUUGAGAAACUUUCAGAGCAUUUUAUUCUUUCAUUUACAGAGAGAUAGGAGUCUAAUAAAUGGGAUGAUGAAUCUUUUCUGCAAAUAGCCAUUGGAGCACAAAAUUGCGUGACAGAAUUUACAUGAUUCUCAAGGAUUGUAAUGGCAAUACAUUUGCACAUCUGCAGAUGCUCUUGAUGACUGCCUGAAAUUGAAAGAGUUUGAGUUGGCUGGAAUCAGAUUUGCUCCAAUGCCUGUUCAAGAAGAAGAGCUAACUAGGAACCAGAGUAUGAUCUAAAAUAUGCGGUUUACGUGGUAAUUACUCCAGCUAAGCACAUUACUAGUUUGCAUUGUAUGUGCUUUUAAUUUUCCUUCUCUAUAUUUUUGUGAUACUGUGAAGUAGUUUGAGGGUGCUAUAUGUUUAAGCAUUACUAGGUUACAGCUGAUUUUUACAAAACUGCCAUCUUUAGAUCAUCUUGCUGAUAGCACAUUGAAAUUUAGUUCAGCAUUAUAAUUUGUAUAAAGUUACUUGUGAUUUGGAUCUGUUGAUUGACAAAAAUUUUUAAUUAGGCUGACUUAGGGAUAUAGCCUCUGCCUGGCCCUCGAGCACUUGUUUCCUGGAGGCAUCAACUUCUGUAUCCUUCAAGGCGUGUUGUGGUGGCAAAAGUUGAACCCCACUGACGGGAAGCUUUGGGAGAUCUCAAUUCAAACUGUCAAAAAGCAAUAUGGCUCAAAAUUGGUGGCAGGAACCCAUAAGAG